This 1444-nucleotide ribosomal RNA is filed under the name metagenome. RNAcentral describes it as "bacterial LSU rRNA". It matches the Rfam family "Bacterial large subunit ribosomal RNA", at positions 1465 to 2925 of the family's 2925-position model. The record is from RNAcentral.
GGGAGUGACGGAGAAGGCUAAGUUGAGCGUGUUAAUGGAUUCACGUGUAAGCAGUGAGGUGGUCAUGUAGGCAAAUCCGCAUGGCAUAACAUUGAGCUGUGAUGCCGAAGCCGUAUGGCGAAGUCAACUGAUGUCACGCUUCCAAGAAAAGCUUCUAGGGUUAAUUUAGUAAGUGCCCGUACCGAUAACCGACACAGGUAGGCGAGGAGAGAAUCCUAAGAUGAGCGAGAGAACUCUUGUUAAGGAACUCGGCAAAAUGACCCCGUAACUUCGGGAGAAGGGGUGCUUGUGAAAGCAAGCCGCAGUGAAUAGGCCCAGGCGACUGUUUAUCAAAAACACAGGUCUCUGCUAAACCGCAAGGUGAUGUAUAGGGGCUGACGCCUGCCCGGUGCUGGAAGGUUAAGAGGAGAGGUUAGCGCAAGCGAAGCUUUGAAUUGAAGCCCCAGUAAACGGCGGCCGUAACAAUAACGGUCCUAAGGUAGCGAAAUUCCUUGUCGGGUAAGUUCCGACCCGCACGAAAGGCGUAACGAUCUGGGCGCUGUCUCAACAAGAGACUCGGUGAAAUCAUAGUACCUGUGAAGAUGCAGGUUACCCGCGACAGAACGGAAAGACCCCGUGGAGCUUUACUGUAGCUUGAUAUUGAGCACUGGUGACACAUGUACAGGAUAGGUAGGAGACGAAGAAGCCAGGACGCCAGUCUUGGUGGAGUCGCUGUUGGGAUACUACCCUUGUGUUACUGGGGUUCUAACCCGUGGCCAUGAUCUGGUCAGGGAACAGUGUCAGGUGGGCAGUUUGACUGGGGCGGUCGCCUCCCAAAGAGUAACGGAGGCGCCCAAAGGUUCCCUCAGAAUGGUUGGAAAUCAUUCGAAGAGUGUAAAGGCAGAAGGGAGCUUGACUGCGAGACCUACAAGUCGAGCAGGGACGAAAGUCGGGCUUAGUGAUCCGGCGGUACCGAAUGGAAGGGCCGUCGCUCAACGGAUAAAAGCUACCCCGGGGAUAACAGGCUGAUCUCCCCCAAGAGUUCACAUCGACGGGGAGGUUUGGCACCUCGAUGUCGGCUCAUCGCAUCCUGGGGCUGUAGUCGGUCCCAAGGGUUGGGCUGUUCGCCCAUUAAAGCGGUACGCGUGCUGGGUUCAGAACGUCGUGAGACAGUUCGGUCCCUAUCCGUCGUGGGCGUAGGAAAUUUGAGAGGAGCUGUCCUUAGUACGAGAGGACCGGGAUGGACACACCGCUGGUGUACCAGUUGUUCUGCCAGGAGCAUAGCUGGGUAGCUACGUGUGGACGGGAUAAACGCUGAAAGCAUCUAAGCGUGAAGCCCCCCUCAAGAUGAGAUUUCCCAUUCGAAAGAAGUAAGAUCCCUUGAAGACGACAAGGUAGAUAGGUCAGAAGUGGAAGUGUGGUGACACAUGGAGCGGACUGAUACUAAUCGAUCGAGGACUUAACC